GACGAACGCUGGCGGCGUGCUUAACACAUGCAAGUCGAACGGAAAGGCCCUGCUUUUGUGGGGUGCUCGAGUGGCGAACGGGUGAGUAACACGUGAGUAACCUGCCCUUGACUUUGGGAUAACUUCAGGAAACUGGGGCUAAUACCGGAUAGGAGCUCCUGCUGCAUGGUGGGGGUUGGAAAGUUUCGGCGGUUGGGGAUGGACUCGCGGCUUAUCAGCUUGUUGGUGGGGUAGUGGCUUACCAAGGCUUUGACGGGUAGCCGGCCUGAGAGGGUGACCGGCCACAUUGGGACUGAGAUACGGCCCAGACUCCUACGGGAGGCAGCAGUGGGGAAUAUUGCACAAUGGGCGGAAGCCUGAUGCAGCAACGCCGCGUGCGGGAUGACGGCCUUCGGGUUGUAACCGCUUUCGCCUGUGACGAAGCGUGAGUGACGGUAAUGGGGAAAGAAGCACCGGCUAACUACGU
Molecule: ribosomal RNA, 466 nt
Filed under: uncultured bacterium
Lineage: Bacteria
Description: partial 16S ribosomal RNA
Rfam family: Bacterial small subunit ribosomal RNA
Source: RNAcentral